CUCAGAGAUGAGACUGUGCCUUCGGGAACUGUGAGACAGGUGCUGCAUGGCUGUCGUCAGCUCGUGUUGUGAAAUGUUGGGUUAAGUCCCGCAACGAGCGCAACCCUUAUCCUUUGUUGCCAGCGAUUCGGUCGGGAACUCAAAGGAGACUGCCAGUGAUAAACUGGAGGAAGGUGGGGAUGACGUCAAGUCAUCAUGGCCCUUACGAGUAGGGCUACACACGUGCUACAAUGGCAUAUACAAAGAGAAGCGACCUCGCGAGAGCAAGCGGACCUCAUAAAGUAUGUCGUAGUCCGGAUUGGAGUCUGCAACUCGACUCCAUGAAGUCGGAAUCGCUAGUAAUCGUAGAUCAGAAUGCUACGGUGAAUACGUUCCCGGGCCUUGUACACACCGCCCGUCACACCAUGGGAGUGGGUUGCAAAAGAAGUAGGUAGCUUAACCUUCGGGAGGGCGCUUACCACUUUGUGAUUCAUGACUGGGGUGAAGUCGUAACAAGGUAGGCGUAGUGCU
This 510-nucleotide ribosomal RNA is filed under the name uncultured bacterium. RNAcentral describes it as "bacterial SSU rRNA". It matches the Rfam family "Bacterial small subunit ribosomal RNA", at positions 999 to 1509 of the family's 1533-position model. The record is from RNAcentral.